UGUCAAAACUCCUAGUAAUUUCUCAAAACAAAAAUGGAAAAAUUGUUUAUUCGGAGUUAAAUGGAAUAUUUACUAACCCUUGUUUGGAGCAUAUGUUAUUUUCAGUUCUAUAUAAAAUAAAUUAUGCCAACUUUUAGCGGCCCGUAAAAACAACGCAAUACCAGAAUAUUUCCAGUCCAGCCUUUCGGAAUCAAAGCGUUGGAUAUAGGAUUAGUUUAAAAUUGUCAGGAAACCGCUCAUACGUGCUGAGUUUUGAGGAAUUGUUUCCGGACCAAAUUUUUCAACGUCACAUCAACUAGCGUUCUGAUACCAACUGCUGAGGGUGAGAAUGUUCCGUGUGUAAAAAAAAGCUGG
Molecule: long non-coding RNA, 354 nt
Organism: Uranotaenia lowii
Lineage: Eukaryota; Metazoa; Arthropoda; Insecta; Diptera; Culicidae
Exons: 3
Source: RefSeq, a predicted model, not a curated record